This 229-nucleotide ribosomal RNA is filed under the name uncultured bacterium. RNAcentral describes it as "partial 16S ribosomal RNA". It matches the Rfam family "Bacterial small subunit ribosomal RNA", at positions 568 to 796 of the family's 1533-position model. The record is from RNAcentral.
GGUGUAGGCGGAGUAACAGGUGUUCUGUGAAAGCCCUCGGCUCAACCGAGGAAUAGCAGGGCAAACCGUUACUCUUGAGGCAGGUAGGGGCAAGUGGAACCAUGGGUGGAGCGGUGAAAUGCGUAGAUAUCCAUGGGAACGCCGGUGGCGAAAGCGGCUUGCUGGGCCUGUCCUGACGCUGAGACCCGAAAGCGUGGGUAGCAAACAGGAUUAGAUACCCUGGUAGUCC